This 589-nucleotide long non-coding RNA is filed under the name Elaeis guineensis (African oil palm). RNAcentral's name for it is "long non-coding RNA (EGUI_LNC000114)". The record is from RNAcentral. Lineage: Eukaryota; Viridiplantae; Streptophyta; Magnoliopsida; Arecales; Arecaceae.
CAUUCAUUUGGAAAAUCCCAAAUCAGCAACACUGUUCACUUUCUCUACCAAACAAACAUGAAACAACAUAAAUGGUGGGAUAAUGUAUGGAGAAGAGACCAACAAAAAAUUAUCAAAAACUAAAUUAAACACAAAGAAAAGAAAAAAAAAGGAUUCAAAAUUUGAAGAAAUGAAUGGAUUGGAUUGGAAGUUUGUAAGGCUAGCCUCGAGGAGGACAUAGAAGAUACAGUAUCUAUAAAUCCAAAGCACUAGAUUUUCAAUUAGGGAGGAGGUGACCUUCCCAUUUUGGCCAUGGAGAAAUGAUGUAAAUGAGAUACCUUUAAGAAGGAAGGGAUUGCUAACUUAAAAGGAGAGGAAGAGGAUCUUAGGCGAGUGAAGGAGAGGAUUUCUCCCAUUGAUGAUAGGCAAGUGGAAUGGUGAAGUUGGGAUGAAAGAGGGUUAAAGGAGAUAAGAGUUGCAUUAGCUUUGAUAUUUGCUAAUCUAAAAACAGAAUUUCUUCCUUUUAUUCUAAGAAGAUGGAAAGAAGAAAUGAUAGAGAUCCAGAGGAAGAGGAAUUUUUUAAUCUUUACAUUCAUAGAAAUUUUAGAUG